This 82-nucleotide small nucleolar RNA is filed under the name Thalictrum thalictroides. The record is from RNAcentral. Lineage: Eukaryota; Viridiplantae; Streptophyta; Magnoliopsida; Ranunculales; Ranunculaceae.
GAGCAGAUGAUGUUAUAUAUUGAUAUAUUAUCUGAUUUCUCUAUGAAGCUUCAAAUAUUGAGCUUUUUAAAACUGAUGCUUA